UACAGAGGGUGCGAGCGUUAAUCGGAAUUACUGGGCGUAAAGCGCACGUAGUCGGCUUUGCAAGUCGGGUGUGAAAUCCCCGGGCUCAACCUGGGAACUGCAUCCGAGACUGCAUUGCUAGAGUAUGGGAGAGGGAAGCGGAAUUUCUGGUGUAGCAGUGAAAUGCGUAGAUAUCAGAAGGAACAUCAGUGGCGAAGGCGGCUUCCUGGACCAAUACUGACGAUCAGGUGCGAAAGCGUGGGGAGCGAACAGG
Molecule: ribosomal RNA, 253 nt
Filed under: uncultured bacterium
Lineage: Bacteria
Description: partial 16S ribosomal RNA
Rfam family: Bacterial small subunit ribosomal RNA
Source: RNAcentral